This 86-nucleotide transfer RNA is filed under the name Photobacterium damselae subsp. damselae. RNAcentral describes it as "tRNA-Leu". It matches the Rfam family "tRNA". Rfam says of the family: Transfer RNA (tRNA) molecules are approximately 80 nucleotides in length. Their secondary structure includes four short double-helical elements and three loops (D, anti-codon, and T loops). The record is from RNAcentral. Lineage: Bacteria; Pseudomonadati; Pseudomonadota; Gammaproteobacteria; Vibrionales; Vibrionaceae.
GCCCGGGUGGCGAAAUUGGUAGACGCAGCGGAUUCAAAAUCCGCCGGUGAAUAACUAUGCCGGUUCAAGUCCGGCCCCGGGCACCA